Mesocricetus auratus (golden hamster) is the source of this 135-nucleotide unclassified non-coding RNA. Its record names the gene Vault. It matches the Rfam family "Vault RNA". Rfam says of the family: This family of RNAs are found as part of the enigmatic vault ribonucleoprotein complex. The complex consists of a major vault protein (MVP), two minor vault proteins (VPARP and TEP1), and several small untranslated RNA molecules. It has been suggested that the vault complex is involved in drug resistance. The record is from Ensembl. NCBI's taxonomy places the organism in Eukaryota, Metazoa, Chordata, Mammalia, Rodentia, Cricetidae.
CUGGCUUUAGCUCAUUGGUUACUUCAACAGUACAUUCUGCUUGGUACCUGCCAUUUGUGGUUGUGUUCGAGCUCUGCUACCAAGUCCUUACAAAACCUGUGAGUGGUUGGUUCGAGACCUGCAGGCACUCUCCAG